Molecule: ribosomal RNA, 253 nt
Filed under: uncultured bacterium
Lineage: Bacteria
Description: partial 16S ribosomal RNA
Rfam family: Bacterial small subunit ribosomal RNA
Source: RNAcentral
UACGUAGGGUGCAAGCGUUGUCCGGAAUUAUUGGGCGUAAAGAGCUCGUAGGUGGCCUGUCGCGUCGGCUGUGAAAACUCGGGGCUCAACUCCGAGCUUGCAGUCGAUACGGGCAGGCUAGAGUUCGGCAGGGGAGACUGGAAUUCCUGGUGUAGCGGUGAAAUGCGCAGAUAUCUGGAGGAAUACCGGUGGCGAAGGCGGCAUCCUGGACCGACAUUGACGCUGAACGGCGAAAGCUAGGGGAGCAAACGGG